AUUGAACGCUGGCGGCAGGCCUAACACAUGCAAGUCGAACGGUAACAGGAAGCAGCUUGCUGCUUCGCUGACGAGUGGCGGACGGGUGAGUAAUGUCUGGGAAGCUGCCUGAUGGAGGGGGAUAACUACUGGAAACGGUAGCUAAUACCGCAUAAUGUCGCAAGACCGAAGAGGGGGACCUUCGGGCCUCUUGCCAUCGGAUGUGCCCAGGUGGGAUUAGCUUGUUGGUGGGGUAACGGCUCACCAAGGCGACGAUCCCUAGCUGGUCUGAGAGGAUGACCAGCCACACUGGAACUGAGACACGGUCCAGACUCCUACGGGAGGCAGCAGUGGGGAAUAUUGCACAAUGGGCGCAAGCCUGAUGCAGCCAUGCCGCGUGUAUGAAGAAGGCCUUCGGGUUGUAAAGUACUUUCAGCGGGGAGGAAGGGAGUAAAGUUAAUACCUUUGCUCAUUGACGUUACCCGCAGAAGAAGCACCGGCUAACUCCGUG
Molecule: ribosomal RNA, 490 nt
Filed under: uncultured bacterium
Lineage: Bacteria
Description: partial 16S ribosomal RNA
Rfam family: Bacterial small subunit ribosomal RNA
Source: RNAcentral